RNAcentral lists this ribosomal RNA (336 nucleotides) under Lunaceps drosti. Its description in RNAcentral is "partial 12S ribosomal RNA". Lineage: Eukaryota; Metazoa; Arthropoda; Insecta; Psocodea; Philopteridae. The record is from RNAcentral.
GAGUAAAUAAGAAGCUCAACAGAGUAGCAGUGAAAAAGCGGAAAGAAUAGUUACUGGCGGUCCUCUAACCAUCUAGAGGUACAUGUGAAGUGGAAUGACUCUACACAAAAAACCUUUUUCUCUUUUGAAUAAAACAUUUUGCACACCACUGUCUGAAAAAGAAAGAAAACUUCUUUAAAACUACUUAGAGGUAGAAUAAGGCAAGCAAACGUGCAGACUAUAGGAGUAAAACUCAUGUGUUCCAAUUUUACUAAUGAAAAAGAUAAAAUAGAAAAGAGAAUUUAGGAGUAAAAAGAAUUUAUCAAAUCCUUUUGAAAUUAAGGCGCUAGAGGACGU